GGGGUUGUGGCUCAGUGGUAGAGCACUCACCUAGCAUGUGUGAGGCACUGGGUUCAAUACUCAACACCA
Molecule: transfer RNA, 69 nt
Filed under: Ictidomys tridecemlineatus (thirteen-lined ground squirrel)
Lineage: Eukaryota; Metazoa; Chordata; Mammalia; Rodentia; Sciuridae
Description: Spermophilus tridecemlineatus (thirteen-lined ground squirrel) tRNA
Rfam family: tRNA
About the family: Transfer RNA (tRNA) molecules are approximately 80 nucleotides in length. Their secondary structure includes four short double-helical elements and three loops (D, anti-codon, and T loops).
Source: Rfam by way of RNAcentral